RNAcentral lists this long non-coding RNA (434 nucleotides) under Medicago truncatula (barrel medic). Its description in RNAcentral is "lncRNA gene42497". Lineage: Eukaryota; Viridiplantae; Streptophyta; Magnoliopsida; Fabales; Fabaceae. The record is from RNAcentral.
CGUAAGUUUCAAAUCAGUAAGUAUUCAGCAUGGAAUACAAAGGAGGUAAUCACCCUCAUCAACAAAUCAACCCUAGUUUUUUUUCUUUCCAGUAAGUUUUUUCUUUCCGUUUUUUCAUUGAGGGGUUGUUUUGGAUCAAAUUUUAACGUGAAAUUAUCCAUCUUCAUCUUUUUCUCUCUAAUUCAAUCUAAAUAAGUGUUUUUCACGUAGAUCUAGGUUUUUUCUUCGUGAUUUCGUCGUCUGAGUGUGGUGGUGUGUUGGUGUUGUUUGAUUUUCCGUCUUGUUGCGGUGUUCAUUUGUAGACAUUAUGUCGUUAUAUACUAUUAACUUGGAUGGUGUGAGUUAAUUAGCAGAUUCAUUAUUUAUGUUUUUAGCGGUGUUGAAUGAUGUACUCUAUCAAUUUGGAUGAAUAAAUGAAUAUUGUUUUAUUUUUG